RNAcentral lists this ribosomal RNA (232 nucleotides) under uncultured eukaryote. RNAcentral describes it as "partial small subunit ribosomal RNA". It matches the Rfam family "Eukaryotic small subunit ribosomal RNA", at positions 1453 to 1679 of the family's 1831-position model. The record is from RNAcentral.
AUAACAGGUCUGUGAUGCCCUUAGAUGCCUUCUAUUGGGUUGCACGCGUGCUACAAUGGCGGGAGCAGUAUGCGGAGGCCAAGCCCGAAAGGGUACGGCAAUCCUGCGAGGCCCCGUCGCGGUUGGGAUCGUCCCUUGCAACUGUUGGUCGUGAACUAGGAAUGCCUCGUAAGCGCGUGUCAGUGAUCGCGCGCUGAAUGCGUCCCUGCCCUUUGUACACACCGCCCGUCGC